GCCUACGGGGCGCAGCAGUGAGGAAUAUUGGUCAAUGGGAGAGAUCCUGAACCAGCCAAGCCGCGUGAGGGAAGACGGCCCUAUGGGUUGUAAACCUCUUUUGUCGGAGAACAAAACCCGGGACGUGUCCCGGACUGCGUGUAUCCGAAGAAAAAGCAUCGGCUAACUCCGUGCCAGCAGCCGCGGUAAUACGGAGGAUGCGAGCGUUAUCCGGAUUUAUUGGGUUUAAAGGGUGCGUAGGUGGAAUAUCAAGUCAGCGGUGAAAAUUAGGGGCUCAACCCCGGCGUGCCGUUGAAACUGAUGGU
This 305-nucleotide ribosomal RNA is filed under the name uncultured bacterium. RNAcentral describes it as "bacterial SSU rRNA". It matches the Rfam family "Bacterial small subunit ribosomal RNA", at positions 337 to 640 of the family's 1533-position model. The record is from RNAcentral.